This 153-nucleotide ribosomal RNA is filed under the name uncultured eukaryote. RNAcentral's name for it is "partial small subunit ribosomal RNA". It matches the Rfam family "Eukaryotic small subunit ribosomal RNA", at positions 1651 to 1806 of the family's 1831-position model. The record is from RNAcentral.
CCCUGCCAUUUGUACACACCGCCCGUCGCACCUACCGAUUGGAUGGUCCGGUGAAGAGCAUGGAUAGUGGCGACUUGCCUUCGGGCAGACGCCACUAGAAGUGUUCUAAACCUUAUCAUCUAGAGGAAGGUGAAGUCGUAACAAGGUUUCCGU